AAAAGUUUAUUCAACAUAAAUAAAAACAUUUUACAUCUCAAGCUAAAUAACUCAAAAAUGUUAUUAAGAUGUAAAAAGUUUUUAUUCAAUAUUGCAUAUAAAUAAUCUGCUGAAGACUUAUACUAUGUAUUUAUGGAUGUAUACACAACAGAAAGCAGUAGAAACAAUGAAACUCUUGUAAAUUCAAAUUGGUCAAAUUGGAUUCAGAUAAAUAGUAAAUGGACUAGUAUGAUUCAGGCAAAUGUUAUUCAAGCAAAUGAGAAUCAGGCAAAUAAGAUUCAAAUAUCUGGAUAUCAGAUAAAUGAAAUUUGGACAAAUAUGAACAAGCCAUAUAAAGACCAACAUUUUUUUGCAUCUAUAAGUCAUAUUGGACAAAUUUCUCAAUUUCUACCAAUGUAGUCAAAACACAUUUGAAAACAUUACCUUUGAGUGUUAACAGAAUGAUUAAAACACAUAAUACACUAGUAGACUUUAUAACGAGUUCUUAUCUAGAAUGGAAAGUAUUCAUCUCAGGAAAUGCAUUUAAUCCAGUUACAGGCUAAUAUAACUCAUUAUUGAUCAUGGCAACUUAAAACAUUAUCUAUAUCAUUUCCAUUUUGAGAAUUUUGACCAUCUUGGUUAAGAAGGAAUCAGACAAUACUUGGUCUUCUCCUAUAAUAAGUACAUACAUAACAGAUUUGAGCAGAGAAAGACAGCCAUCAUGGCUAGCUAUAACUGGCUAUGCACAUUACAUAAAUUUGUAGAAAAAACAAUGUACAAUGCACUGAAUAGUUACAAAUAAAAUACAAAUAAUCAAUACUGAUUUCUCUGGGAAUCGACAGACAGUUGCAACUACAUCUAUAGAUAUUAUAGAUCAAAUCAUCAGGCAAUCUUGGCUUCCAUUGAGCCUAUUUAAACACAAGACAAAGCAAGUUAAUUCAAUAUUCAACAGUCCAUCAUUAGAUUCCAAAGCCUAUCUAAUCCCCAAGAUUCUAAUUACUAUGUCUUCCAUUCAAUUCUUUCAUUUUUCUGUGAUUUAACUAAAUCCUUUUUUAUUCUGAAUAACAUUUUUCUAUCCCACUCUUUUGCCUUUUUCAAUAUGAGUAGUUCAUUGGCUCUCAUCAUUCAAGCACUAUUGUAUUGACCAUUCCAAGAAUCUAAGGUGAUAGGAUGAAUAUGCAUUUUAUCUCCCUCAGGGAAUUCAUUAUAGACAUUAUAGGCUAUCCCUCUAUCAUGAAUGCUGGUGUUUUUCUUUCACAUUUUGUGAUAUUAGGAUGAUGAUGGUUGCCAUAAGACAAAUCCUGUUGUCAAUAUUAUGGGCCAAUGGGUAUAUUUUACAUGACACACUAUAUGUUUAACAUGACUUUCUCUGAAGUUAGUGGGAAUAUCACAAAGAGAUAUAGAACUGAUUGAUCUGUUCUCCAGUAGAGAUUAUCAGCUUUUCUUUUGUUUAGAUCAGUGACAUAGAUGGCUUGCCCAGAUUAUUUAUCAUAGGUGAAAGGGGUGCAGCAACCUGGGAAUAUUUGGUAUUGGAUUCAGCUAAGACUUUUUACUUACUCUGUCUUAAAUAAAAGUAUAGGAGCAAUAUUUAGCUAUUUAGGGAUUUUAUUUAUUCAUGUUAGUUUACGGAGACUUUAGUAUAAGAUUAGCUUUAAGUAAUAGUUAUCAUUGCUCCCCUACUUACAUGUUUAAUUUGUUCCAAAAAUUGUAAGUUUAAAAUUGUACAAGUCCAACAAUGCUUAGAUUUUAUAUAUACAAAUGGAUAUAUUGAUAAAUGAGAUGC
Molecule: long non-coding RNA, 1762 nt
Filed under: Androctonus crassicauda
Lineage: Eukaryota; Metazoa; Arthropoda; Arachnida; Scorpiones; Buthidae
Source: RNAcentral